Neodiprion fabricii is the source of this 176-nucleotide long non-coding RNA. RefSeq lists it as uncharacterized. The record is from RefSeq and is a predicted model, not a curated record. Lineage: Eukaryota; Metazoa; Arthropoda; Insecta; Hymenoptera; Diprionidae. The transcript has 3 exons.
UGUGCACUUCCGAUAUGGAAUAUAAUAGGCUAUGCGAGGAGAGGAAAAAGAAAGAAAAUGAGGGUUUCAUAAACGAAGCAGCGGAAGCAAGGACAGAAAGCAAGGUAUGGGAGAUAGUAAACAGGGAAAGAAAGAAGUGGAAGAGGGUGUAUGAAGAAAUAGGAGAUCAGGAGUGG